AUUAUGAUCUGUUCUUUCCAUGAAUAAAUGUCGAUUAAUGCAUUGUUCAUCUGUAUGAUAAACCGGGGUUAUUUUUUGUUGGCUGAUGAGUGGUUUUCUAUUUUAGUGUGUAUGAUGCAUUCUAUGUGGGGAUGCGGCUGGUGAUUGUAGCAAUUUAUUUUUAUUUCAGAUUUAAGUAGAAAACCAGACCAUGUCUUUGGAUGCUCAGCGUAGCUGGAUGUAUAGUGGGUGGAAGGAUAAUGGAAGACAUUCUGAUGAGUGGAUACGGAAUACAAAUGCUUUUGUGAACCAUGUUUUUUAGGGUGUCCGUAGUUCCAAGUUUGGAGUUUCCUAUCCUUGCUCAAAAUGUUGCAAUGGUAGUAGAAGAACAAAACAAUUGAUGACCUCUCAUCUUUGUCAUUGGGGGUUCAUGCCCAACUAAUGGAUUGCACAUGGGGAGCGUCAUGUUCAUGUAGAUAGAGUGGAGUCUGUCAACAUUAAUUGCUUAGAGGACAUGUUGUGUGACUUUGGGGAUUCAAUUCAUGUCGAUAACUCACACGAGGAGCCAACACCGGAUGCCAGAGCUUUUUAUGCCAUGUUGUCAGCUGUUAGAGAGCCACUCCAUGAGUUCACCCAAACCCCACGCUUUGCUACUGUUACAUGCUUGAUGGGAAUUAAGUCACAAUACAAUCUGUCAGGCGACUGCAUAAAUAGCACUUUCGCAAGAUACACUCCCACAAGUCAAUAAAAUGCCAUCAAGCUUGUAUGAGUGCAAGUGUAUCUUAGGCCAUUUGAAAAUGCCACUCCUGAAAAUAGAUGCAUGCGUUAACCAUUGCAUGCUAUACUAUAAGGAUAGAGAGGAAAAACUGAAGUGUGAUUUCUGUGGUGAAGCAAGAUAUAAGGUAGUUAACAAUGACUGCCCAAAUAAGAAGCGUAAACCCAUCCCCACGUAAGGUUCUGCGAUACCUUCCAUUUCUAUCAAGAUUGCAAAGGUUGUUCAUGCAGCCUGAAUUUGCUAAGCACACGAGAUGGCACAUGGAAGGCAUCCAAGAAAAUCUAGGAAUGAUGGUGCACCCAGGUGAUAGUGAAUCAUGGAAAUCUUUCAAUGAGGAUGGGUUUGCAAGUGAUUCACGCAAUGUUAAGCUAGUCAAGUCCUCUGAUGGCUUCAACCCUUUUAAUUUCGGGUUAACACAAUACUCUUGUUGGUUUGUGUUUCUUGCUCCUUUGAAACUGCCACCUGCUCUUUACUUGAAAACCCAAAAUAUCUUUCUUAGCAUGGUGAUCCCUGGACCAAAGGGUCCUGGCAAGAACUUCAAUGUGUACAUGGUCUCUCUUUAAUGGCAUUGUCAAUGACAUCGAGGUUAUUUCUGAGGUGAGAGCUACUGGUACAUCUUCAGCAGCCUUGAAACGUCGUCGAGUAGAAGAAAUUGAAGAUGUGCGUAGAAAGGAGUCUGAGAAGACUAAAAAAGCAGAGGCUUAUGCCAACAAUCUCUUGUCAUGGGGUGUUAGCAUGUACGAGCACUGCAAUGGGAUACAUAAGUUUCUUCAGACUUUGGCAACUAACUAAGGUGUACCUAUUGGAGAAAUACCACCGCCGCCGGUUCCACCUCCUUCACGUUCACUUUCUCCUCCUGGAUCUCCACAACCAUCUACUAUCCAAAUUCUAGAAAAUAGCGAAGAACCGCCAGCUUUGUGUGCCCAACAAGAAACAAAUCCCGGCUCUUUUCAUGAACAUGGUGUUGCCUCAAGUGUUCCUGCUGCAAGUGUUCCUGCUGUAGAUGAUGAAGGGAUGUUUGGGGGAUUUUUCAGUCAAUCUGGAGCUGGUGCACUCAGCCUAUCACUAUUGAGCAGCCAGUUGGUUCCUUGAUGUUCUUGGAUGUAUAGUGCGUGGAUCGCAUUUUGGUGCAUGUAUAGUUAACAUGCUGGUACAUGUUCUGUGAUGUAGGAAACUGUGAUACGUCUCCAAUGUAUCUAUAAUUUUUGAUUGCUCCAUGCUAUAUUAUCUUCUGUUUUGGACA
Molecule: long non-coding RNA, 1997 nt
Organism: Triticum aestivum (bread wheat)
Lineage: Eukaryota; Viridiplantae; Streptophyta; Magnoliopsida; Poales; Poaceae
Exons: 4
Source: RefSeq, a predicted model, not a curated record